RNAcentral lists this ribosomal RNA (255 nucleotides) under uncultured bacterium. RNAcentral describes it as "partial 16S ribosomal RNA". It matches the Rfam family "Bacterial small subunit ribosomal RNA", at positions 524 to 777 of the family's 1533-position model. The record is from RNAcentral.
GACAGAGGGUGCAAACGUUUGUUCGGAAUUACUGGGCGUAAAGAGCGCGCAGGCGGUCGAUCAAGUCGAGUGUGAAAGCCCCCGGCUCAACUGGGGAGGGUCAUUCGAUACUGAUCGACUCGAAGGCAGGAGAGGGUAGUGGAAUUCCCGGUGUAGUGGUGAAAUGCGUAGAUAUCGGGAGGAACACCAGUGGCGAAGGCGACUACCUGGCCUGUUCUUGACGCUGAGGCGCGAAAGCUAGGGGAGCAAACGGGG